AAGUGAACGAGAUAAAAGAGCAGAAGGUUAUAACCUGAAAGACGAAGAUGGAAGACUUCGAGACCCAUUUAGGAUCACGGCGCUACGGAUGACCUGAGAAUUAAUUUAUGGCACUUAGAAAUCACAGAUAGAAGCUUUAACAUCGUGGACAUCAAGCCUGCUAACAUGGAGGAGCUGACCGAAGUCAUCACCGCAGCCGAGUUCCACCCGCACCAGUGCAACGUGUUCGUCUACAGCAGUAGCAAAGGGACCAUCCGCCUGUGUGACAUGCGCUCCUCGGCCCUGUGCGACAGACACUCCAAGUGUAAGUGCGUCUGUUGUUGAGAUGGAGUCUGGCUCUGUCACCCAGGCUGCGGUGCAGUGACACAGUCUCGGCUCACGGCAAGCUCCGCCUCCCGGGUUCCAGCAAGUCUUCUGCCUCGGCCUCCCGAGUAGCUGGGACCACAGGCAGGUGCCACCACGCCCAGCUAGUUUUUGUAUUUUUAGUACAGACAGGGUUUCACCAUGUUGACCAGACUGGUCUGACCUCAGGUGAUCCCCCUACCUCGGCCUCCCAAAGUGCUGGGAUUACAGGUGUGAGUCACCGCACCCGGUCACGCCUGGCGUCUUUUAAAGCAUCUCAUUUAGAGCCACUUGUUCUUCAGACACUCCAAAGACUUAGAGAGUUCUUCCUGUUCCCCAAGUGCCUUUGCACAACUGGGGAGCCCUCCUUUGCUGGGGCCGUCCGAGUGUGGCUGUGUCAGAGGCUGCUGCUAAUAAGUGGAACUCGA
RNAcentral lists this small RNA (770 nucleotides) under Pan troglodytes (chimpanzee). Its description in RNAcentral is "retained intron". Lineage: Eukaryota; Metazoa; Chordata; Mammalia; Primates; Hominidae. The record is from RNAcentral.